GUUCGUUUCGGCAGCACAUAUACUGAAAUUGGAACGAUUCCACGAGGACUAGCGGGGCCCCUGCACAAGAACGACACACGGGUCCCUGAGGCAUUCCCUGUGCUG
Small nuclear RNA from Pteronotus mesoamericanus, 105 nucleotides. NCBI's taxonomy places the organism in Eukaryota, Metazoa, Chordata, Mammalia, Chiroptera, Mormoopidae. The record is from RefSeq and is a predicted model, not a curated record.